GAUGAAGAACGCAGCGAAAUGCGAUAAGUAAUGUGAAUUGCAGAAUUCAGUGAAUCAUCGAAUCUUUGAACGCACAUUGCGCCCGCUAGUAUUCUGGCGGGCAUGCCUGUCCGAGCGUCAUUUCAACCCUCAAGCCCCCGGGCUUGGUGUUGGGGAUCGGCGAGCCUCCGUGCCCGCCGUCCCCUAAAUCUAGUGGCGGUCUCGCUGUAGCUUCCUCUGCGUAGUAGCACACCUCGCACUGGGAAACAGCGCGGCCACGCCGUUAAACCCCCAACUUCUGAACGUUUGACCUCGGAUCAGGUAGGAAUACCCGCUGAACUUAAGCAUAUCAAUAAGCGGAGGA
Molecule: unclassified non-coding RNA, 343 nt
Filed under: soil metagenome
Description: partial contains 5.8S ribosomal RNA, internal transcribed spacer 2, and large subunit ribosomal RNA
Rfam family: 5.8S ribosomal RNA (bases 1-120)
Source: RNAcentral